CCAACAUUUAAUAGAUAGGUUCACUUCACUAAUUUCUCAUGUUGUUAGGCAAGCUAAAAUUCUAGCCAACAUUUGUUUCCUCCAAAAGUUCUUAUGUAAUUCACACAUAGUCUUUUCCUCAAAAAAAAAAAAAAAAAAAAAAAAAUCACUCAUAAUAGUCUCAAAAUUACAAUAAGAAUUAUAUGUUGUUGUAUCUAUGUACCAAACCAACUAAAAUUUUCCGUUUGUAGUGGAACCAUAUCAUUACUCCCAAUUAACUUUUUUAGAAGUUCCUCCGAAAUUAAACAAUUUUACUUGUGAUCAAAUAUUACUCCUUCAU
This 319-nucleotide long non-coding RNA is filed under the name Salvia miltiorrhiza (redroot sage). RNAcentral describes it as "long non-coding RNA (SMIL_LNC013193)". Lineage: Eukaryota; Viridiplantae; Streptophyta; Magnoliopsida; Lamiales; Lamiaceae. The record is from RNAcentral.